GUAUUCAAGUAAGCUUAGAGCUGAAAUUCUUGAACAAUCUUAAGACAUGUUAUCCUUUAGUUGUCAGCAAGACAGAUGAAUUACAGUCAAAGCAACAUAUCUGUCAAAACACCAACUACCGCUGGCUAUAGGAGGCAAAGGUGUAGGGAUGCCGAAAUUCUUUGGGUUAAUAUACUAUUUGGUAAUUAACUUUUGACUUCAAUGUUUACUUUGGUACUUUAAUGGUUUUUACAAUUUGAUACUUGAGUUUAGUUUCAAGGUUCCAUUUAGUACUUACGGGUUAUUUUUGUCUCAAUUAAGUACUUAAUACAUGUGUCAAACAUUUAUUAGGUCACAUGAUGUUGUUUGAUAUGAGUAUCAAAUUAAAUAUUAGAACCAAACUCAACUACCAAAUGAUAUAUUAAUCAAAUUCAAGGGAAACAUGCGUUUAAUAUUGUAGUUUGCCUAUACAUCCAAGCUGUUGCUGUCCUGGAUGCUUUGCUCACAUUCAAUGGAAACUGAUGUUGCUUUAUAUGCAGGCUUCUUCGGGUGAAAUGUUCGCUUUAGAUGUCGAAUUAUUUGUCAGGUAUGUAAUCUGAUUUGUCAAAUCAUUUCUAGUAGAUCAUUUCGGUUUAGGUUAAACAAGUUGAUUUUUUACCAGCAAAUGGGAUUUGAGUUCAAAUUUGA
Molecule: long non-coding RNA, 666 nt
Filed under: Gossypium barbadense (sea-island cotton)
Lineage: Eukaryota; Viridiplantae; Streptophyta; Magnoliopsida; Malvales; Malvaceae
Description: long non-coding RNA (GBAR_LNC012152)
Source: RNAcentral